Molecule: ribosomal RNA, 253 nt
Filed under: uncultured bacterium
Lineage: Bacteria
Description: partial 16S ribosomal RNA
Rfam family: Bacterial small subunit ribosomal RNA
Source: RNAcentral
UACAGAGGUCCCAAGCGUUGUUCGGAUUCAUUGGGCGUAAAGCGCGCGUAGGUGGCCCCAUAAGUCCGCUGUGAAAGUCAAAGGCUCAACCUUUGAAAGCCGGUGGAUACUGUGGGACUAGAGUACGGAAGAGGCGAGUGGAAUUCCUGGUGUAGCGGUGGAAUGCGCAGAUAUCAGGAGGAACACCAAUAGCGAAGGCAGCUCGCUGGGACGUUACUGACACUGAGGCGCGAAAGCGUGGGGAGCAAACGGG